UUGGGUGACGAGUGGCGGACGGGUGAGUAAUGUCUGGGGAUCUGCCCGAUAGAGGGGGAUAACCACUGGAAACGGUGGCUAAUACCGCAUAACGUCGCAGGACCAAAGAGGGGGACCUUCGGGCCUCUCACUAUCGGAUGAACCCAGAUGGGAUUAGCUAGUAGGCGGGGUAAUGGCCCACCUAGGCGACGAUCCCUAGCUGGUCUGAGAGGAUGACCAGCCACACUGGAACUGAGACACGGUCCAGACUCCUACGGGAGGCAGCAGUGGGGAAUAUUGCACAAUGGGCGCAAGCCUGAUGCAGCCAUGCCGCGUGUAUGAAGAAGGCCUUCGGGUUGUAAAGUACUUUCAGCGGGGAGGAAGGCGAUGCGGUUAAUAACCGCGUCGAUUGACGUUACCCGCAGAAGAAGCACCGGCUAACUCCGUGCCAGCAGCCGCGGUAAUACGGAGGGUGCAAGCGUUAAUCGGAAUUACUGGGCGUAAAGCGCACGCAGGCGGUCUGUUAAGUCAGAUGUGAAAUCCCCGGGCUUAACCUGGGAACUGCAUUUGAAACUGGCAGGCUUGAGUCUUGUAGAGGGGGGUAGAAUUCCAG
RNAcentral lists this ribosomal RNA (592 nucleotides) under uncultured Pantoea sp. RNAcentral's name for it is "bacterial SSU rRNA". It matches the Rfam family "Bacterial small subunit ribosomal RNA", at positions 84 to 672 of the family's 1533-position model. Lineage: Bacteria; Pseudomonadati; Pseudomonadota; Gammaproteobacteria; Enterobacterales; Erwiniaceae. The record is from RNAcentral.